AUCGAACUGACGAGUCCCGAAUAGGACGAGACGCGCGUCCUGGAU
Molecule: non-coding RNA, 45 nt
Filed under: Schistosoma mansoni
Lineage: Eukaryota; Metazoa; Platyhelminthes; Trematoda; Strigeidida; Schistosomatidae
Source: RNAcentral